This is a small nuclear RNA of Hemicordylus capensis (graceful crag lizard), 102 nucleotides long. NCBI's taxonomy places the organism in Eukaryota, Metazoa, Chordata, Lepidosauria, Squamata, Cordylidae. The record is from RefSeq and is a predicted model, not a curated record.
CUUUGGCAGCACAUAUAUACUAAAAUUGGAAUGAUACAGAGAACAUUUGCAUGGUCCCUGAGCAAGGAUGACAUGCAAAUUCGUGAAGCGUUCCAUAUGUCC